UUGAACGCUGGCGGCAUGCUUUACACAUGCAAGUCGAACGGCAGCGGGGGCUUCGGCCUGCCGGCGAGUGGCGAACGGGUGAGUAAUGCAUCGGAACGUACCCAGUCGUGGGGGAUAACUACGCGAAAGCGUGGCUAAUACCGCAUACGCCCUGAGGGGGAAAGCGGGGGACCUUCGGGCCUCGCGCGAUUGGAGCGGCUGAUGUCGGAUUAGCUGGUUGGUGGGGUAAAGGCUCACCAAGCCGACGAUCUGUAGCUGGUCUGAGAGGACGACCAGCCACACUGGGACUGAGACACGGCCCAGACUCCUACGGGAGGCAGCAGUGGGGAAUUUUGGACAAUGGGCGAAAGCCUGAUCCAGCAAUGCCGCGUGCAGGAAGAAGGCCUUCGGGUUGUAAACUGCUUUUGUACGGAGCGAAAAGGCUCUCUCUAAUACAGGGGGCUCAUGACGGUACCGUAAGAAUAAGCACCGGCUAACUACGU
RNAcentral lists this ribosomal RNA (482 nucleotides) under uncultured bacterium. RNAcentral describes it as "bacterial SSU rRNA". It matches the Rfam family "Bacterial small subunit ribosomal RNA", at positions 29 to 506 of the family's 1533-position model. The record is from RNAcentral.